This 460-nucleotide ribosomal RNA is filed under the name uncultured bacterium. Its description in RNAcentral is "partial 16S ribosomal RNA". It matches the Rfam family "Bacterial small subunit ribosomal RNA", at positions 338 to 795 of the family's 1533-position model. The record is from RNAcentral.
CCUACGGGUGGCAGCAGUGAGGAAUAUUGGUCAAUGGGCGCGAGCCUGAACCAGCCAAGUCGCGUGAGGGAUGAAGGUUCUAUGGAUCGUAAACCUCUUUUAUAAGGGAAUAAAGUGUGGGACGUGUCCUAUUUUGUAUGUACCUUAUGAAUAAGGAUCGGCUAACUCCGUGCCAGCAGCCGCGGUAAUACGGAGGAUCCGAGCGUUAUCCGGAUUUAUUGGGUUUAAAGGGUGCGUAGGCGGCCUUUUAAGUCAGCGGUGAAAGUCUGUGGCUCAACCAUAGAAUUGCCGUUGAAACUGGCAGACUUGAGUUGGCGAGAAGUACGCGGAAUGCGCGGUGUAGCGGUGAAAUGCAUAGAUAUCGCGCAGAACUCCGAUUGCGAAGGCAGCGUACCGGCGCCAGACUGACGCUGAGGCACGAAAGCGUGGGGAUCGAACAGGAUUAGAUACCCUAGUAGUC